AAUAACUUUAUUUUUCAUUUUACCGUGUCCAACAUUUGACCAUUCGUUUUAUUUGAAAAAUUUGUACAAAUACCUAAAAAAAUUAAUCACGUAUAAAGUACUAUUCAUAUUUAAUUAUCUAGUAAUAAUAAAAAUAUUAAUCGCAAAAAAAUUUCAAAUAAAAUGAAUGGUCAAACGUUGAACACCGAAAAACGAAAAAUGAGGUUAUU
Oryza brachyantha (malo sina) is the source of this 209-nucleotide non-coding RNA. NCBI's taxonomy places the organism in Eukaryota, Viridiplantae, Streptophyta, Magnoliopsida, Poales, Poaceae. The record is from Rfam.